RNAcentral lists this ribosomal RNA (2821 nucleotides) under human gut metagenome. RNAcentral's name for it is "bacterial LSU rRNA". It matches the Rfam family "Bacterial large subunit ribosomal RNA". The record is from RNAcentral.
AGGGCGUACGGUGAAUGCCUUGGUGCCAACAGGCGAAGAAGGACGCGGCAAGCUGCGAAAAACCUCGGGAAGCUGCAAGCAAGCGAUGAUCCGGGGGUGUCCGAAUGGGGUAACCUGACUGGGGUAAUACCUGGUCGUUCAUACCUGAAUACAUAGGGUAUGAAACGCAAUACCCGCUGAAGUGAAACAUCUCAGUAAGCGGAGGAAAAGAAAGAGAAAUCGAUUCCGUAAGUAGUGGCGAGCGAAAGCGGAUGGAGCCCAAACCGAAGGUACUCCUUCGGGGUUGUAGGACCACGACAUAUUCGACCAUAGUGGAUAGUAGAACAGUCUGGAAAGGCUGGCCAUAGAAGGUGAAAGCCCUGUAGACGAAAUCCAGAGUGGGAAUUAGUGGUAUCCUGAGUAAUACAUCACACGUGGAACGAUGUAUGAAUCAGCGCGGACCACCGCGCAAGGCUAAAUACUAGUUGGCGACCGAUAGUGAACAAGUACCGCGAGGGAAAGGUGAAAAGAACCGCUGUGAGCGGAGUGAAAUAGAACCUGAAACCGUAUGUCUACAAAGUGUCAGAGCAGAGCGAUCUGCGAUGGCGUGCCUUUUGUUUAAUGAGUCUGCGAGUCAGUGUUUGUGGCAAGACUAAGGGCUUCCGGCCCGGAGUCGCAGCGAAAGCAAGUCCGAAUAGGGCGAAUUAAGUCGCAGGUACUGGACCCGAAGCGGAGGUGACCUACCCUUGGCCAGGUUGAAGCAUGGGUAAAACCAUGUGGAGGACCGAACAGGUGAACGUUGAAAAGUUCUCUGAUGAGCUGAGGGUAGGAGUGAAAGGCUAAUCAAACCCCGUGAUAGCUGGUUCUCUUCGAAAUGCAUUUAGGUGCAGCGUCACGUGCUGAUGCGCGGGGGUAGAGCACUGACAAGGCUAGGGGGCACACCCGCUUACCAAACCUUAUCAAACUCCGAAUACCGUGCAAUGGAACGUGGCAGUGAGACAGUGGGGGAUAAGCUUCAUUGUCGAGAGGGAAACAACCCAGACCAGCAGCUAAGGUGCCUAAAUAACGCUGAGUGGAAAGGAUGUGGGAUUACACAGACAGUGAGGAUGUUGGCUUAGAAGCAGCCACCAUUUAAAAAAUGCGUAAUAGCUUACUCAUCGAGUGAUCCUGCGCCGAAAAUGAUUGGCGAUCAAGCGUUAUACCGAAGCUCUGGACUUUGCCGCAAGGCAGAGUGGUAGAAGAGCGUUGCAUGCGCAUUGAAGGGUGAUGGCGACUGACCCUGGAGCGCAUGCAAGUGAGUAUGCAGACAUGAGUAACGUAAAGCCGGGUGAAAUCCCCGGCCGCCGUAAACCCGAGGUUUCCAGGGCAACGUGUUUCGUCCCUGGGUUAGCCGGGACCUAAGCCGAGGCCGAGAGGCGUAGGCGAUGGAUAUCAGGUUAAUAAUCCUGAGCUCGCGACCCUUAAACUGGGGGGACGCAUGAGAAGAGAUGACCAGGUUAUUGAAUUCCGAGCUGGGUCCACGGACCCAGCGCAUCAUCAAAUCGAGUGCCAAGAAAAGCCCCAGCGUAUGCUAAGCGACCCGUACCGCAAACCGACACAGGUGGGUGGGUAGAAUAUACCAAGGCGUAAGAGUGAAACCUGGUUAAGGAACUCGGCAAAUUAGCCCCGUAACUUCGGAAGAAGGGGUGCCUGCAGCGAUGCAGGCCGCAGAGAAAUGGCCCAACCGACUGUUUAUCAAAAACACAGCACUCUGCAAAGACGCAAGUCGAAGUAUAGGGUGUGACACGUGACCAAUGCCGAAAGAUUAAGGCAAGGGGUUAGCCGCAAGGCGAAGCUCUGAACCCAAGUCCCGGUGAAUGUCGGCCGUAACUAUAACGGUCCUAAGGUAGCGAAAUUCCUUGUCGGGUAAGUUCCGACCUGCACGAAUCGUGAAACGAGUUGGGCACUGUCUCAACCAGGCGCUCAGUGAAAUUGUAGUGGCGGUGAAGAUGCCGCCUACCCGCAGAAGGACGGAAAGACCCUAUAGACCUUAACUGUAAGCUGUCAUUGUUUCUUCGGUUUUAAUGCUCAGAGUAAGUGGGAGACGCUGAAGAUGCCCUUUAGGGGGCAUCCGAGUCAUCAAUGAGACACCACCCUUUGAAACUGGAGGAUCUAACCCUGAGCCGUGAAUCCGGCCAGAGGACCGUGUCAGCCGGUCAGUUUUACUGGGGCGGUAUCCUCCCAAAGAGUAACGGAGGAGCGCGAAGGUGGGCUCAGCCCGGUUGGCAACCGGGUGUCGAGUGCAUGGGCAUAAGCCCGCCUAACUGUGAGACCAACAAGUCGAGCAGAUGCGAAAGCAGGCCCAAGUGAUCCGGCGGUAGAAAGUGGAAUUGCCGUCGCUCAACGGAUAAAAGGUACCUUAGGGAUAACAGGCUGAUCACGCCCAAGAGUUCAUAUCGACGGCGUGGUUUGGCACCUCGAUGUCGGCUCGUCGCAUCCUGGGGCUGGAGAAGGUCCCAAGGGUCCGGCUGUUCGCCGGUUAAAGCGGCACGCGAGCUGGGUUCAGAACGUCGCGAGACAGUUCGGUCCUCUAUCCUCUGUGGGCGUUGGAAAAUUGAGGGGUUCAGACCUUAGUACGAGAGGACCGGGUCUGACGCACCACUGGUGCAUCGGUUGUACUGUCAAGUGCAUGGCCGAGUAGCUAAGUGCGGAAGGGAUAAGCGCUGAAAGCAUCUAAGCGCCAAGCCCAUCCCAAGAUGAGUUUUCCCUAUAGGUUCGUGGAAGACCACCACGUCGAUAGGUCGCAGGUGUAAGUGCAGCAAUGUAUUGAGCCAAGCGAUACUAAUCACCGAUAGACUUCAUC